UAAUGAUUAAUAAGGGACAGUCGGGGGCAUCAGUAUUCAAUUGUCAGAGGUGAAAUUCUUGGAUUUAUUGAAGACUAACUACUGCGAAAGCAUUUGCCAAGGAUGUUUUCAUUAAUCAGGAACGAAAGUUAGGGGAUCGAAGACGAUCAGAUACCGUCGUAGUCUUAACCAUAAACUAUGCCGACUAGGGAUCGGACGAUGUUAUAUUUUGACUCGUUCGGCACCUUACGAGAAAUCAAAGUGCUUGGGCUCCAGGGGGAGUAUGGUCGCAAGGCUGAAACUUAAAGAAAUUGACGGAAGGGCACCACCAGGGGUAAACCACUCUCGGUUUCUCGAAGCCGCAGUUAACUCUGCUCCUAAAAGCCGCCCGAAAGGGUUAAUGGUGUCCCUUGGCCUCCCAGGCCUAAAUUAAUGGCUAGUCUCCUAGCGAGGCGACAUCCUCAAACUGCGGGAAACUCCUAAAGCUCACACUACCAAGCAGCCCCCGAAAGGGGAGGCUGUGGCCGGGGUAAUGACCUAGGGUAUGGUAAAAACGUGCUGAGAUGCUACAGUGGACGAUCCGCAGCCAAGCCCCUACGUGCGCAAGCAUACGGGGAAGGUUCAGAGACUUGACGGGGGUGGGUGGGCCUCAGUGGCCUGCCUAAGAUAAAGUCCGGCCCUGCGUGAAAGC
Molecule: ribosomal RNA, 670 nt
Filed under: Fusarium cf. ensiforme
Lineage: Eukaryota; Fungi; Ascomycota; Sordariomycetes; Hypocreales; Nectriaceae
Description: partial small subunit ribosomal RNA
Rfam family: Eukaryotic small subunit ribosomal RNA
Source: RNAcentral